This 467-nucleotide ribosomal RNA is filed under the name uncultured bacterium. RNAcentral describes it as "partial 16S ribosomal RNA". It matches the Rfam family "Bacterial small subunit ribosomal RNA", at positions 29 to 507 of the family's 1533-position model. The record is from RNAcentral.
ACGAACGCUGGCGGCGUGCUUAACACAUGCAAGUCGAACGGAAAGGCCCUGCUUUUGUGGGGUGCUCGAGUGGCGAACGGGUGAGUAACACGUGAGUAACCUGCCCUUGACUUUGGGAUAACUUCAGGAAACUGGGGCUAAUACCGGAUAGGAGCUCCUGCUGCAUGGUGGGGGUUGGAAAGUUUCGGCGGUUGGGGAUGGACUCGCGGCUUAUCAGCUUGUUGGUGGGGUAGUGGCUUACCAAGGCUUUGACGGGUAGCCGGCCUGAGAGGGUGACCGGCCACAUUGAGACUGAGAUACGGCCCAGACUCCUACGGGAGGCAGCAGUGGGGAAUAUUGCACAAUGGGCGGAAGCCUGAUGCAGCAACGCCGCGUGCGGGAUGACGGCCUUCGGGUUGUAAACCGCUUUCGCCUGUGACGAAGCGUGAGUGACGGUAAUGGGUAAAGAAGCACCGGCUAACUACGUG